UAGAAUCAAGAAUGAAUGUAUAUUGUUUUAGCUUCCUAAAUAAAAAAUAUUGAAUGUGUUAUUCUAUCAUUAAGUCCGAAAACCUUCCCAUGUUUAUUGUUAUAUGCUUUUAUAUAUUUUACGUUGAAAAACUCAAGGCGCUUGAUUACUUCCCUUCUGUGUGGGAAAUUCACACCACAAAGGCACAAGUGGACAGCCCAGCUCCAGUGUCCCUUUGAGCUGCCGGCAGUGGCACAUGGGCUGCUUGAGAAAAGUAUCCUCCUUUUUGAACAUUUUCUAGAAGGAUGGGCUCCUGAAAGAGAGGAUGUGGAGCAGGGAGAGGAGAGGGCAGGAGAAGAAAGUGAGAAAGAGGGAGAAGUGGAUGAAGAGGGAGGACAUGAGGAGAUCAGGGAAAGCGAAGACAUGGAGGUGAUGCCGGUAGUUGUAGAGGAAGGACACAGUGAGAGAGCACAAAUGGAAGAGGUGGAGGCAGUGAAAGAUGAAGUAUUAGCAAAUAGGAAGUCAGGCGUCUCCAUUGUGGUAACCAAACGGGGAAAGAGUGACAAGAAAGACAAAGGGGUGCAAUGAGGUUCAGGUGCAUUGGCUCCCAUGUCCUUCCUGCAAGAAGGCAUGGCCCCCCCUCUUGGGAGCCUCAGGAGCACAUCCCAAUAACCCUUGGACAGUAACCUAAAGAGAUUAAAAUAAAAAA
Molecule: long non-coding RNA, 688 nt
Organism: Esox lucius (northern pike)
Lineage: Eukaryota; Metazoa; Chordata; Actinopteri; Esociformes; Esocidae
Exons: 5
Source: RefSeq, a predicted model, not a curated record